UGUAAGGGCCCCGUAAAAGGGUCCCCUACGUCUUCCAUAGACGCAUGUUUAAUAGAAUGUAAACUCGUAUCCUCGCCUUAAAAAAGCGUCGAUAAAACUUAUACAACUUUCAACAACGGAUCUCUUGGCUCUCGCAUCGAUGAAGAACGCAGCGAAAUGCGAUAAGUAAUGUGAAUUGCAGAUUUUCAGUGAAUCAUCGAAUCUUUGAACGCACCUUGCGCUCCUUGGUAUUCCGAGGAGCAUGCCUGUUUGAGUGUCAUUAAACCUUCAACNCCGAUUUGAAUUUUUUUCUACUCGGGAGUUUGGACUUGGAGCGUGCUGGCGCGAGUCNGCUCCUCUGAAAUGCAUCANCGGAAACCAAAUCCUUGGCUUUCUGGAUGUCAGCGUGAUAAUCAUGUUGC
Molecule: ribosomal RNA, 401 nt
Filed under: uncultured Piloderma
Lineage: Eukaryota; Fungi; Basidiomycota; Agaricomycetes; Atheliales; Atheliaceae
Description: eukaryotic LSU rRNA
Rfam family: 5.8S ribosomal RNA (bases 105-259)
Source: RNAcentral